RNAcentral lists this ribosomal RNA (441 nucleotides) under uncultured bacterium. RNAcentral's name for it is "partial 16S ribosomal RNA". It matches the Rfam family "Bacterial small subunit ribosomal RNA", at positions 338 to 795 of the family's 1533-position model. The record is from RNAcentral.
CCUACGGGUGGCAGCAGUGGGGGAUAUUGCACAAUGGGGGGAACCCUGAUGCAGCGACGCCGCGUGGGUGAAGGAGUGCUUCGGUAUGUAAAGCCCUAUCGGCAGGGAAGAAAUAGGACGGUACCUGACUAAGAAGCCCCGGCCAACUACGUGCCAGCAGCCGCGGUAAUACGGAGGGGGCGAGCGUUAUCCGGAUUCACUGGGGGUAAAGGGAGCGUAGACGGCCAUGCAAGCCAGGGGUGAAAACUCGGGGCCCAACCCAGUGACUGCCGUUGAAACUGCUUGGCUGGAGUGCGGGAGGGGAAGGCGGAAUUCCUGGUGUAGCGGUGAAAUGCGUAGAUAUCAGGAGGAACACCGGUGGCGAAGGCGGCAUGCUGGACCGCAACUGACGCUGAGGCGCGAAAGCGUGGGUAGCGAACAGGAUUAGAUACCCGGGUAGUC